This 2724-nucleotide long non-coding RNA is filed under the name Triticum aestivum (bread wheat). Its description in RNAcentral is "long non-coding RNA (TAES_LNC026725)". The record is from RNAcentral. Lineage: Eukaryota; Viridiplantae; Streptophyta; Magnoliopsida; Poales; Poaceae.
GUUAUAUGAUUUGUACAUGGCGGUGUUCCUGAACAGAAGGAGGUAAUUUCUUCGCUCUUUCUAUUGAUUAAUAUUGUUCUUCACUCUUUCUGAACUAUUGAAUUUAUUAAUAUUAUUCUUGCACAAAUUAAUUAAUGAUUAUAUCAUCUUUUGGUCACUUGAGUAAGAUAGAACAUGAUGAUCCUCUCUUAAUUUGGUUUCUCCUCCGCUAAAGAAUAUAGGAAUCACCAGCAGCCCUUCUGGUGAGCACCAUGUCUAUGAACUCAUCUCCAUGCUUACUAUCCUUCUAUAAACUGGGGGUAUCCAUGUGUUUCUAAUAAGGCAUUUUCCAUUCUUUCUUUUUCAAUUCUGUAUCAGUAGUUCCGAGGAAGCGCUCAACCUAGACGUUGUUGGCCGAAGGAGGGGCGGAGCAGGUGCCAGUCAGGUAGGCGGCUCAAUGGGUGGGAGAUGGCAGCUGCCGAUCUCACAUGGCUCCUGCGCCCCGCUACCCUCCCCUCCACGGCUAAGUAGGAGGUUCGAGGGCAGCGACUAAGGAAGGAGCACAUCGGCGAUGAGGGCUAGCAAUAGCAAGACACAACUGUAAGGUGCGGUCGAUAUGCCACCACGUCGGCCCCUUCACGCACGACCGCAAGGGUCGGGGCCUUUUUCCGAGCAAUGCAUAGUGUUUCCUUUAUUGUUGUUGUUUGUGCUGUCCUAGAUAUUCCUUUGCCAUAUGAUUUUUGAUCAUUUUCUCGCUCAUUCCUAGAGGAGCGCUAUAAAUAAUAUGAUUGAGAUGGCUAAGAUACAUGCUUUUUUGUUUACUUGGCAUCUGCUUUUAAUUUUUCUGCAAUCCUUCGUUUACAUGCUGGUAUGUUUUGUUGCCAGGCUCAGAUCAGCGAGACCCGUGCCAAUGCAUGAGGUACAAUAUUUUUCUUAUUUAUUCCUUUCAUACAUAUUGAGUUCAUUCACCCUAUUAUAUAUACUGAUUAAACAGUACAGGAUGGGCCUAGAAUUAGAUGCUAUUGGUACUUGCUCACGCUCAUUUCUCAUGUUUAUGUUCAGGCCUAACCUCACAAAACUUUGGUAUGCACUCACGUAUAAUCAGGGCUUGCUUAUUUAAAUUCUUGAAUUCAUUUUAUAUAUAUUAUAUCAUUAUUAUUUGUUAUCAGUUUUUUGUUUACGAUUUCCAAUUGGGUAAUAUCCCAUCAUACUACUAGGCAUUGGCCAGGUACUGGACUUUGGCUGGUUGUCAAUAUAAGCUUUGUGUUCUCCUUUGUUUUUACCUCAUUUAUAAAGUCCUUGAUUGAGCAAGCAUUUGAUUUCUAUGCCAACAUAGAUCUUAUUGCUCAUCAAAGGUAUCUAAAAGUUGUGUGCUCUGCAAUAGAUGGGUUGUGUUAGUCAAUAGAAAUACCUAAUAUGUCAGUUUUGUUGCCAAAUAUUUUAAACACAGAUAUAUACAGAGUUCUAGAACAGAAGAUGAUCUGGUGGUUACCUUUCUGUUAUUUACUCGAAUGACUGUACGUAUAUCUUACCUUCAGACUUUAUCCGAUCUUAGUUAGUUUUCCAUCUCCAAUCAGAUUAAUGGUUUGCAUGCAGACCAAGCCCAGUGUUCUAUGGUGUUCUUAUUCCUGAUUUAGUUGUACAUUUGACUUUUAGUUUCUUCAUAGAUAAUAAAGUAGUGGCAGAUGACCCAGUAAGUUAUUUGUGCCCAUGCUUUGCUGUAAGCAUUAAAUUUGCUCUCUGCUUUUACUUUCGAUGUGUUAUCCGUACCCCUGCUUUUUGUGGCUAAUUAUUAUCUCCUAUCAACAUAUGCAGAGUCCAUGGUAUCAUACGAUUUGAAGUUGAAAAAUUCAUGCUAUGGGUGAUACGGAAAAGGCAUUGCCUUCUUUGCUGGAACAUUUCCUAAGAUGAUCUAAGGUAAUUAUUUUAGUCACCAUGUCAUUUAUAUGCUAAAUUCAGUGCAUUGACAACUAGAGAUCGCUUCCUUUUUUGUGUAUUGAUCAUUUCAGUACGAUUGUUUGAUACACUGCCGACAUCAUUUUGCUUCUUCUUGCUUGGUAUUUCAUUUAUUUCCUCCAGCAAGUGGAUGGCUAUUUCCACUGCUUCAGGUUUCGUUUUGGCUCUAAUUGUGUGUAUGGCAUCUUGGCCUUCUUAGGUGAAGCAGUUAUGAAUAUCCUCGCUGAUCUAUGGAUCUAUCAUUGUAAGAGUCGAUGAUAUAUGGUGAGCUGCCUCACACCAUCAUUUGGUCUUCGUAGCAUUUGAGUUGGCAAAUUUGUUGGAUUCAUGCGAUUAGGCAUGGUAAGUGCUCAGAGACUCAUAGCUCUAUAACUGUUUGCUUCCAAAAGUUUUGAAUCUUUUCUGCGCUUGGUCCUCUCAUUGGUGAGAGUAGCCAUGUAAAUCAAUCUGCUAUGGGAAAUGGGAGUUUGCAAACUACCGGAGUCUAAUUGCUGAGGGACGAGGUUCGUAACUGAGGGUCAUGUGCAGAGCUGGAGGAAGAAGUUGCGAGGCUUGGAACUCUCCUUGUGAAGGGCUCAGGGACAGCAGUGAGGACAAUACCUCUUUAGUUGUAAUUGUGAUACUCCUGAUGUGCAAGUAAUCGCUCCUGUGAUACUCCUUAUACUAAAAUGUUGGUUGUUAGUACAGAGGUGUUGACAUUAUUUGGUUCUCUGGUAUUGAUUUCAUGAUUUGUGGUUAAUACAUGAUCUAAUACAAUCCACAUUGCAGUAUAUUUCCAGUUACAUCUCC